AUAAACAAUACUUCUUACUCAUGUUUAAUCCACCGUAUUAAAGGGAUUGUGUCAGACGUGCUCCAAACUUGAACUUUUUCCUCAGCCAUCAAGAGAUCCCUUUGAAAGGCCGCCGCUUGGAAUAGAAGGAGCUAAUUAUUUUACCAUCACUGAGGUCAUCAGCAGACAGCCGAUGUGAUGCGCACUCACGGGGCCGAGGCCUAUUCACGUUUGUUUUGAUCACAACAGCAGAUGACAAUCUCGUGAAGCCUGCAGACCCUCUUCCUCUCGAAAUGAUCCGAGCUGAAGGUGCUGCCGUUUCAAUGAGGAGAUCCGAGCCACGCAGGGAGCCCGUUGGCGAGGAGGAAGGCAUUGUCUCUCACUUCCAUGUUCUCUCGAUGAACCGAGGAUAACCUCAUGGACACAUGUAGGCAGAGCUGCGAGGGAGAAUGGAUAUGUUCUAUCAAGGAUGUGACACCGUGUUUCAAUUCAUGGUCCAAAAUAGUUUUUUUUCCGCCAAGGGAAACAUUCAGUGAUGUCAUACGCUGCCUGUCAGUGGACAUGGCCACACAUAUCUCCAGAUGCUUGCUGUGACCGCCCCCACCAUACCAGACACACACCCCUCCAGCUUCGGAUUCCCCUCGCCACCAAAAAUUGAACGGUAUGUGCAGGGGGUCAGAUCAGGCAGUGAGUGACAACAGGUUUGCACGAUCAGCUCUCUGAGAAAGGACGGGCUGGUCAGACUCAAGGAGACAGAGAACGGGUGAAGUGUGCUGCAUUGGAUUACAUCUCAGUCAACCUUUUGCCUUUAUCUGCUGUAUUUGUGCAGAUAGAUUGGAUUGUGAGCUCAGCAGAAACCCAGAAACUUGUGUUGAGUGUGGUUUCUAUUUGUCUUUCUGUUUAGCUCACCUUUGUCUUACCAGCGCUGGUGGUAGC
Long non-coding RNA from Hippoglossus stenolepis (Pacific halibut), 915 nucleotides. RefSeq lists it as uncharacterized. The record is from RefSeq and is a predicted model, not a curated record. The transcript is spliced from 3 exons. Lineage: Eukaryota; Metazoa; Chordata; Actinopteri; Pleuronectiformes; Pleuronectidae.